AUAAUUAAGAGUUGGCCAUAUUGGAUUGUCGCCAGACCACUUGUUGUAUCGUCAGUGACAGCGCGUUACUUGUACGAAAUAAACCGUGAGGCGGGGCACCAAGUAUUGUUCUAUAUCUUCACCAUGAACGGGUAAGUCAAUCCUCAAAUUAGUGUGACAGAAGGCGAAAUCUGUUGCUGUGGUGCUUUUGUGUGGGCCACUGAGGUAUGUGUGAAGAAUAUAUAUAUGCAGCUUUCUUCUGCUGUGGCGUAUCGUAUAAUGCCAUUAAUAAUGAAAUUAUCCUUUCAUAUAUAACGAUGAGCUUGAAAGGUUAAUAUGGAUGUUUAGGUGCAUGUAUUUGCUGUUUUAAUAAGUGAAGUGCACAUAUUGCUUUCUUUAGUAAUUUUACUGUUAAUAGUGUUUGUAAUAUAGUGUAUGGUAUGAAUGAGAGGGCUGUACAUGAAGUUCAUGAACUCUAUUUCAUUACAGUAAAUUGGAGCUAUAUAUAUCAAACAUUUGUCUAUCUGCUAUUAGCCGCUAUAAGGAAUUUAUUAUUUGGGAAUAGUGUUUAGGAGCUACAGGGUUUUUAUGGGAAAAUUUUGAAUGGGAUUUUUUUCCCAUAUAGUGUCACAAAAUAGAGAUGGAGUUAUUUAUCAUUCUAAAUCUUUUAAGUGAAAUAAAUUAACUUCAUGUACUGGUCUCAGCAAUUGGUGUAGAGAGCAUGUUGUGUGCACAUGCUUUGCAAAUUCCAAAUGCAUGUUGUUUCUCUUCUGUGUACAUUACAUAGCUUCUAAGAAUGUGAUUCUAUUGUGUAAGUGAUCCAAAGAAUCGGAAUUCCGGAAAUAGGGGAAAUUGUAUUGAACCUUCCAUGUCUAUUUCAAAGAAUAAUGUUUGAUAAUGGCUUAUUGUUUGAAUAAAUACAUGAUUACAUUUACAGUUUUCUGAAUAUUAUGGCGCUUAAAGUUUGUUAAAGACAGUUUUCAUGAUUUAUUCUCCAGUGCAAACUAUUGAGCAGAUGUAAGGUCUUCUCACUGUCUGCUUACGUGCACAAAUCAAAAACUUGACAUUGUCAUUGGUUUGCCAUGUGGUACAGGUGUUGGAUUAUUUGCUCCUGUUAGAUGUCCAUAAAGCUAUAGUUUAUUGGUUGUUCUAAUAUUCCCAUCACUUGGAAGAAAUGGUAAUUAAAUCAGCUCUAUACUGCCAAGGCAGCUGUAAAUGGGCAUACAAAACACUCAAACAAAUAAUCAGUGUGAUGUGGCAUUGAAAUUGUUAUUAAAUCUGUUGUCACCAUCCUGUUAUACUUUCCAUUGUUUACAGUAACAAAAUUUGGUUUCUGUUAAUCAUUAUCAUGCGUAGGAUCUUCCAUUGCUUAACCUGGUAUCAUUUCUGUUAGUUUUGUACAAUUAUUGGGGGUCCGUUUCUUUGUCUUUAAAAACUUCAUGCUUUUAUAUGAUUUGAUAGUAGAGUAAUUUGUUUGUGGAGAUGCAAAUAUUGGUGUAGGGGGGGAAUCUAUUGCAGUUUGUUCAUUACAAACAUGAACAACUUCCAGGGAUUUAUUUGUAGUGGGAUAUGCAAUCAUUAGUGCAUCUAAGCUGUAACAAAAUAAUUUAUUGCUAUAGCUGUUUGCAUUUGAUUUUUGUUGAUGUCAUCUGCUUAAUAUUUUUCCAGAAAGCAGGUAUCUGUGUGGUAGUUCUCAUCAUUUCUAAAGACCAAAUUUUUCCGAGGGGAGUAUUUAUUCAUGACCUCAUCUAAAAGAUGUUAAUUUAGAGUGUAUGGUGAUGAUGACUCAGUUGUGUGAAAAGAUCAAUGGCCUACAGGUUAGAUCUGUUUACUAUAGCAGAUUACUGAAGUGCAUUCACUGCAAAGCACAACUUCCACUGUUUCUACACUCUGUUGAUGUAGGUCAUGUGUGCACAUAGUUAAUUUUAGUGAGUGACAUACUAGUAUGAAAGUUAAUAAAAAUCUUUUCAUGAUGGAAACUUUCUAAUGAGUUACGUUUUAUGUUGGUAACAUUUGAGCUAGAUGCUAUUUACUUGUCAGUAGUAAUCUCAAUGACUAGAAUUGUGUUCAUUGGAUUGGUGGAUAUCAUUUUUUGUAUUUCUGAUGUUUCUUUUACUGCAGUUGGUUUUUUUGGUAGAUAUUUGCUCUUUCAAUCUCUAAGAAUAAUUCUUAUUAUUUGCCUAUGUUAUAACUCGUGUUAUGCAUACCUUACUAAUUAUCUCACUUCACAUAGAUAUUUAUAGCUUGAUAAUAAAUGUGAUAUUGUUAAUGUGAGUACAUGGAAACUACCUUCUGCCUGUGUAAGUUUUUAUACUGUUAUGCUUGAAGUUUCAUGCUCACGUUUCAGUUCUGUUACUGUCUUGCUUUGAUCCUUGAAGCUGAUGUGGCCUUUCUUCUGUCCUGUUGUCUUUGCUGUAUUUAUUUUAAUUACUGCUAAUGUAAUCAGUCAGUGGUUCAUUUUGUAGUCAAGUGUUAUGCAGGCUUGAAACUUACAGCUGAACCAACACAGUAUAUGCAUCUUUAAUUUUUUAUUUUGAUGUGAUAGGAUGGGAAGGAAAUCUCAGGUGUUACUUAGUGGAUCAGCUGAUUUUGUAUCCUGCACUGGUGUGUGUGUCCAUUUCAUUUAAUAGUAGGUAGCUGUGCAGUUUGUUUGUUGCAUUGUCUUUCCAUGUACAUUACUAUUUACAUGUGACUUAUUCUUCCUCUUCUUUUUCUUCUUCUUCUUCGGAGUCUUCUGUUUAACUUUUCUUUUUCUGACUUAACAGCCGUCUCUUUCACUCUUUAUUCAUUGGUCUUCUUAUACUGUCCUUUCAUGUUUUAGAUAAGUCAUGUUAACAUGGUUAUAAUUCUUCUAUAAUAUUAUGUAAAAGAGAGAAUCUUUAGUGAUCAGUGUUUUUCUCUGAACUUUCCAUUUGCAAGAUUCCAAUAGGUCCAUUGCUCAAGUGGAAAAGAGUGGAAAAGCUGUUGAAUGGUGACACCAAAUAGAAUGGUAUGGUGCAGCCCAUGCCGCUAAUCGUGAAAACGAGAAUCAUCAUUGCUCAGCCUGUCAAGACGUCUACUUUGCUAAAGAAAGAACAAGAUAUGUUUUACAUGUCACUGACAAGAGAUCUUAACACUUAUUUAUUAGUUUUAGUGAGAAAUAUGAGGUGUGAUCAUAACAUAUCAUGGUUCAUGAUAAAUUUUGAUACUUGAAGUUGUUCCAGGUAGUGGCAUUGUGCUAAUAACUAAUGUACUGAGGUAGUAGCUGCUUCAAUGUUGCUGACUGAUGAAGCAGUCUCAUUUUAGAAAACUUCAUUGUGUAAUUGUUACAUGUUGUUUGUGAGGAUGGUUGUUGUAGAUCUUUUGGGAAUUGCUGAGAAAAUGUUGGGUUAAUGAACUUGUGCUGAUAUUAUUUGGACACGAAUGACGACCAUCUUUUGAGAGUCUUAAUGCUUUUAGUAUCAAUCAUUUCAAAUCAAGGCACAGGUGAUAAAACAAAUUGAUGGGUAGAUUCUUGAAGAUAAACUAACAGAACAUAAAUAAUGCUGUUGAAAUAGAAAAUCACUUUGUGCAGUUGUUCAGAAUUGGUUUUUUGCACUUUGUUUAAAGGUCUGGCAACAGUUACUGCUAUUAUCUGUAGACAAGUUGUGCAACUUGAUUUCAGCUGUUGUAUUUGGCAACAUUACACACAGCCAACAUUUUGUCACUUAUGUUUUGAAGAGUUAUUUUUGGUUAAUGCACAGUCCUACUUGGAGAUUGCCAUGAAAAUAGCACAAGACCUGGCUGAUUGUGAAUGGCCUGUCUUCCUGGUAGCAUACCCAUGAGCCUUAUGAAAGGUAGCAUUAAAGUAUGCCACAAGAUUUUGUAGAAUUUUCACUUGUCCUGUGCAAGAUGACUUUGAAUGUAGAUGAUCAUAUUUGCAUUGAUAAAUGUUAUGACUUGUUCUGAAACUCAAAAGAUUCAUAAAUUAAAAGGGAAUGUGCCAACACAGCUGUUGACUGUGCCUGUGAGCAACAUGAGAACCCUCUGUUAAUACUGCAGGAACUUCUAAGUACUUCUUUAUAAGCUUUUUUUUGCAGGGGAAUAUUUCUUUAAAUUAUGCAGCCUUGAUACUGUUUGGUCACACCUUGUUGGACAGAUCUUUAUGUAAAUGUACGCUGGAAACAAAUUUCCUCUAUAAAAAUAACAUGUAUAAAAAUCUGUAUGAAUGUUGCACUGUUCUUGAAAUUUUUUUUUUAAUUUGGGACAGUAGGAUAAAGGUUUGCAAGUAUUUUGAUAGUAUGAAGUUCUUAGGUUGUAUAAGCAUGCAAAUUUAAUGGAAAACUAGCUACCAGAAAUGUUUCUCAGUUAACAUUCUAAAUAAAAAUUGGAAUAGUGAAAUGAACGUGCAUUUGAGUCGAUGGUCUUGUAAAAUCUUGGCAAAAUAAAUUUGAUAAAGGAAGUGAUAAGAAUAUCAUGUAAGCCAAUGGCAUAAAAACAGUAAUUUGCGUGACUUCCCUUACCAGGUGUUUGUCAUCCUGGUUCCGUAUAACAUAGUACCGAGCUUUGAACUGUUAGUGUUGGUAGCAGUUGUAUGCAUGUUAUUGAAGUCAAAUUCCUAAUAUACAUUAAGCAUGUUAAAUACAUUCACUGCCACAUGCUGUAUUACAAAGUAUAAGGAAUACCUACCUAAUAAAUGAGCUUGUAGUGCUUUAUUUUUUAGCAUUUUGAUACUUUACUUUUGCAGUUAUUUUUAAUACAUGUAUUUAUGCUGUUUCAUUGCUGAUUUGGUGCUAUCAGUGAACAAUAUUUAGCUGUUUUUUGCUUACAAGAUAAUGUGUUACAAGCAGAACUCAAAUAAUUGUAUAGUGUUUUACUGUACAAUAUUUACACAAUAAAUAUAUUAAUUUUUAUGUAUUAAUAUUGUAACAUCAUUGCUUUUAUAAGUUCAGUAUUGGUUACUAGCUUAUAACAUGAUAAUAAAUAUUUUUGAGUCUUCA
This is a long non-coding RNA of Schistocerca gregaria, 4937 nucleotides long. RefSeq lists it as uncharacterized. The record is from RefSeq and is a predicted model, not a curated record. NCBI's taxonomy places the organism in Eukaryota, Metazoa, Arthropoda, Insecta, Orthoptera, Acrididae. The transcript has 2 exons.